ACUCCUACGGGAGGCAGCAGUAGGGAAUCUUCCACAAUGGACGAAAGUCUGAUGGAGCAACGCCGCGUGAGUGAAGAAGGGUUUCGGCUCGUAAAAACUCUGUUGUUAAAAGAAGAACAUAUCUGAGAGUAACUGUUCAGGUAUUGACGGUAUUUAACCAGAAAGCCACGGCUAACUACGUGCCAGCAGCCGCGGUAAUACGUAGGUGGCAAGCGUUGUCCGGAUUUAUUGGGGCGUAAAAGCGAGCGCAGGCGGUUUUUUAAAGUCUGAUGUGAAAGCCUUCGGCUCAACCGAAAGAAGUGCAUCGGAAACUGGGGAAACUUGAGUGCAGAAGAGGACAGUGGAACUCCAUGUGUAGUGGUGAAAUGCGUAGAUAUAUGGAAGAACUACCAGUGGCGAAGGCGG
This 405-nucleotide ribosomal RNA is filed under the name uncultured bacterium. Its description in RNAcentral is "bacterial SSU rRNA". It matches the Rfam family "Bacterial small subunit ribosomal RNA", at positions 335 to 724 of the family's 1533-position model. The record is from RNAcentral.